Molecule: ribosomal RNA, 409 nt
Filed under: uncultured bacterium
Lineage: Bacteria
Description: bacterial SSU rRNA
Rfam family: Bacterial small subunit ribosomal RNA
Source: RNAcentral
CAGCAGCCGCGGUAAUACGGAGGUGGCGAGCGUUGUUCGGAAUGACUGGGCGUAAAGGGAGCGCAGGCGGCCUUUUAAGUCCGGCGUGAAAGCCCGGGGCUCAACCCCGGCGGGUCGGCGGAUACUGGGAGGCUGGAGUACGGAAGAGGAGAGUGGAAUUCCGGGUGUAGCGGUGAAAUGCGUAGAUAUCCGGAGGAACACCGGUGGCGAAAGCGGCUCUCUGGUCCGAUACUGACGCUGAGGCUCGAAAGCGUGGGGAGCAAACGGGAUUAGAUACCCCGGUAGUCCACGCCGUAAACGUUGUGCGCUUGGUGUGGGCGGUAUCGACCCCGCCUGUGCCGGAGCUAACGCAUUAAGCGCACCGCCUGGGGAGUACGCCCGCAAGGCUAAAACUCAAAGGAAUUGACGG